AGACGUCUACAUUAGAUACCCCCUGUAGUCCCAGCCGUAAACUAUGCUCGCUAGGUGUCAGGCAUGGCGCGACCGUGUCUGGUGCCGCAGGGAAACCGUGAAACGUGCCGCCUGGGAAGUACGGUCGCAAGGCUGAAACUUAAAGGAAUUGGCGGGGAGCACCACAACGGGUGGAGCCUGCGGUUUAAUUGGACUCAACGCCGGGAAGCUCACCGGAUAAGACAGCGGAAUGAUUGCCGGGCUGAAGACUCUGCAUGACUAGCUG
RNAcentral lists this ribosomal RNA (265 nucleotides) under uncultured archaeon. RNAcentral describes it as "partial 16S ribosomal RNA". It matches the Rfam family "Archaeal small subunit ribosomal RNA", at positions 717 to 982 of the family's 1478-position model. The record is from RNAcentral.